AUUGAACGCUGGCGGCAUGCCUUACACAUGCAAGUCGAACGGCAGCACGGGAGCAAUCCUGGUGGCGAGUGGCGAACGGGUGAGUAAUGUAUCGGAACGUGCCCAGUCGUGGGGGAUAACGCAGCGAAAGCUGUGCUAAUACCGCAUACGAUCUAAGGAUGAAAGCGGGGGAUCGCAAGACCUCGCGCGAUUGGAGUGGCCGAUAUCAGAUUAGCUAGUUGGUGGGGUAAAGGCUCACCAAGGCGACGAACUGUAGCUGGUCUGAGAGGACGACCAGCCACACUGGAACUGAGACACGGUCCAGACUCCUACAGGAGGCAGCAGUGGGGAAUUUUGGACAAUGGGCGCAAGCCUGAUCCAGCAAUGCCGCGUGCAGGAUGAAGGCCUUCGGGUUGUAAACUGCUUUUGUACGGAGCGAAAAGGUUCUCUCUAAUACAGGGGGCUCAUGACGGUACCGUAAGAAUAAGCACCGGCUAACUACGUGCCAGCCGCCGUGUAA
Molecule: ribosomal RNA, 499 nt
Filed under: uncultured bacterium
Lineage: Bacteria
Description: partial 16S ribosomal RNA
Rfam family: Bacterial small subunit ribosomal RNA
Source: RNAcentral